AUGAACGCUGGCGGCGUGCCUCAUACAUGCCAGUCGAGCGAACAGACGAGGAGCUUGCUCCUUUGACGUUAGCGGCGGACGGGUGAGUAACACGUGGAUAACCUACCUAUAAGACUGGGAUAACUUCGGGAAACCGGAGCUAAUACCGGAUAACAUGUUGAACCGCAUGGUUCAACAGUGAAAGACGGUCUUGCUGUCACUUAUAGAUGGAUCCGCGCCGCAUUAGCUAGUUGGUAAGGUAACGGCUUACCAAGGCAACGAUGCGUAGCCGACCUGAGAGGGUGAUCGGCCACACUGGAACUGAGACACGGUCCAGACUCCUACGGGAGGCAGCAGUAGGGAAUCUUCCGCAAUGGGCGAAAGCCUGACGGAGCAACGCCGCGUGAGUGAAGAAGGUCUUCGGAUCGUAAAACUCUGUUAUUAGGGAAGAACAAAUGUGUAAGUAACUAUGCACGUCUUGACGGUACCUAAUCAGAAAGCCACGGCUAACUACGUG
This 496-nucleotide ribosomal RNA is filed under the name uncultured bacterium. RNAcentral's name for it is "partial 16S ribosomal RNA". It matches the Rfam family "Bacterial small subunit ribosomal RNA", at positions 29 to 507 of the family's 1533-position model. The record is from RNAcentral.